UCGAGCGGCAGCGCGGGGGCAACCCUGGCGGCGAGCGGCGAACGGGUGAGUAAUGUAUCGGAACGUACCCAGUCGUGGGGGAUAACUAUCCGAAAGGAUAGCUAAUACCGCAUACGUCCUGAGGGAGAAAGCGGGGGACCGUAAGGCCUCGCGCGAUUGGAGCGGCCGAUAUCGGAUUAGCUAGUUGGUGAGGUAAAGGCUCACCAAGGCGACGAUCCGUAGCUGGUCUGAGAGGACGACCAGCCACACUGGAACUGAGACACGGUCCAGACUCCUACGGGAGGCAGCAGUGGGGAAUUUUGGACAAUGGGGGCAACCCUGAUCCAGCCAUUCCGCGUGAGUGAAGAAGGCCUUCGGGUUGUAAAGCUCUUCCAGCAGGAACGAAACGGUGGUCCUUAAUACGGGCUACUAAUGACGGUACCUGAAGAAGAAGCACCGGCUAACUACGUGCCAGCAGCCGCGGUAAUACGUAGGGUGCGAGCGUUAAUCGGAAUUACUGGGCGUAAAGCGUGCGCAGGCGGUUCUAUAAGACAAAUGUGAAAUCCCCGGGCUUAACCUGGGAACUGCGUUUGUGACUGUAGGACUCGAGUGUGGCAGAGGGGGGUGGAAUUCCACGUGUAGCAGUGAAAUGCGUAGAGAUGUGGAGGAACACCGAUGGCGAAGGCAGCCCCCUGGGUCAACACUGACGCUCAUGCACGAAAGCGU
Molecule: ribosomal RNA, 705 nt
Filed under: uncultured bacterium
Lineage: Bacteria
Description: bacterial SSU rRNA
Rfam family: Bacterial small subunit ribosomal RNA
Source: RNAcentral